GAUGAACGCUGGCGGCGUGCCUAAUACAUGCAAGUCGAGCGAACAGACGAGGAGCUUGCUCCUCUGACGUUAGCGGCGGACGGGUGAGUAACACGUGGAUAACCUACCUAUAAGACUGGGAUAACUUCGGGAAACCGGAGCUAAUACCGGAUAAUAUAGUGAACCGCAUGGUUCAAUAGUGAAAGACGGUUUUGCUGUCACUUAUAGAUGGAUCCGCGCCGCAUUAGCUAGUUGGUAAGGUAACGGCUUACCGAGGCAACGAUGCGUAGCCGACCUGAGAGGGUGAUCGGCCACACUGGAACUGAGACACGGUCCAGACUCCUACGGGAGGCAGCAGUAGGGAAUUUUCCGCAAUGGGCGAAAGCCUGACGGAGCAACGCCGCGUGAGUGAUGAAGGUCUUCGGAUCGUAAAACUCUGUUAUUAGGGAAGAACAAAUGUGUAAGUAACUAUGCACGUCUUGACGGUACCUAAUCAGAAAGCCACGGCUAACUACGUG
This 497-nucleotide ribosomal RNA is filed under the name uncultured bacterium. Its description in RNAcentral is "partial 16S ribosomal RNA". It matches the Rfam family "Bacterial small subunit ribosomal RNA", at positions 28 to 507 of the family's 1533-position model. The record is from RNAcentral.